GUGGCCGUGGUGGGGGUAUUUUUACUACCUUUUAUUUGAUUUUAUUAUUGAUAGAUUUGAUAAAUCUUUGAGAAGCUAAACUGUUGAAAAUGAAAAACUGAAAAUUUAUUCCUUCUUUUCCAUUUUGUUCUUUUUACAAAACAUCUAAUUGAAUUGACAAAACAUUGUAAAGAUAUCAUGAAUUCAUCUGUUUAUCAAAAGACAAACCAAGUCCUAUGAUCUUACGCCUCAAUACGGGGAAAAACAUCCAACAACAACAACAACAACAAAGCCUUUUCCCACUAAGUGGGGUCGGCUAUAUGAAUCCUAGAACGCCAUUGCACUCGGUUUUGUGUCAUGUCCUCCGUUAGAUCCAAGUACUCAAGUCUUUUCUUAGGGUCUCUUCCAAAGUUUUCCUAGGUCUUCCUCUACCCCUUCGACCCUGAACCUCUGUCCCGUAGUCACAUUUUCGAAUCGGAGCGUCAGUAGGCCUUCUUUGCACAUGUCCAAACCACCGGAACCGAUUUUCUCUCAUAUUUCCUUCAAUUUUGGCUACUCCUACUUUACCUCGGAUAUCCUCAUUCCCAAUCUUAUCAUUUCUCGUGUGCCCAUACAUCCCACGAAGCAUCCUCAUCUCCGCUACACCCAUUUUGUGUACGUGUUGAUGCUUCACCGCCCAACAUUCUGUGCCAUACAACAUCGCUGGCCUUAUUGCCGUCCUAUAAAAUUUUCCCUUGAGCUUCAGUGGCCUACGACGGUCACACAACAAGCCGGAUGCACUCUUACACUUCAUCCAUCCAGCUUGUAUUCUUCUGUUGAGAUCUCCAUCUAAUUCUCCGUUCUCUUGCAAGAUAGAUCCUAGGUAGCGAAAACGGUCACUUUUUGUGAUCUUCGCUAGAUUGCUCCGGUCAUUAGUGUGGAUAAGUAUAUAAAUGGAUAGAGAUAGGAAAGCAAACACAAGAUGUACGUGGUUCACCCAGAUUGGCUACGUCCACGGAAUAGAGGAGUUCUCAUUAAUUGUGAAGGGUUUACAAAAGUACAUAGGUUCAAGCUCUCCUUUAGUGAGUACAAGUGAAUGAUUUAGUACAAAUGACAUUAGGAAAUAUUGUGGGAGAAUGAUCUCGUAACCAUGAAACUUAAGUACCGGAGUGUGGUAUCGUCUUGACUUGCCUUAUCUGUCUCAUAGGUAGAUGUGGCAUCUUCUCAAGAAGUACUCUUCCUCCAUCCAGGGGUGGUAUCUGUAACUGGUGGAGAUGCACAAGGUAAUGUAUCAAUUUCACUUGAAGCUUACUUGUAGUUUCAGGCUUGGUCAAACGUGAUACAAACCAUGUAGUAGGAGUCCCCCAAGUCGCCGAGCUAAGGUAUCUGCUGAAAGAGGUGACAGACAAGGUAAGCAAUCAGAGCUCCGGCUGAUUGUUCACAUUCUCCCUAUCUUGCAGGCAGCAUGAAGGAUAAAGAGAAGAAAAAUGAGAAGAGAUGAUAUGGGAUACUUUUGCUUUUGAAGAAGUAACUUUCCACAGGCUUAUUCUUGAACUGGGCUGGAGGGUUUUUUGGUUUCCUCCAGAGGAUAAGGCCGACUGAAGAAUUUGAGGGUCAAAACAAGUCCAUCAAAUCUAGAGUACGUUCGACCCUGCUAAUAUGGGAUACUUUUGCUUUUGACAUAGUAGUGGAUGUAUCGGCACGUGUGCUGUUACGCUUGUCUCCACAUGCUUCCUUGUAUCCUUCUCACUUGCCCUAGCUGUUCCUCAGGCAGAUGUGGUAUCUUCCCUGGAAGCAUAAGAUGUUGAAGAUGAGUACUCGAGAGCAAUGCCAGGUAAGUAAUUCCAGGCAGUCAGUUCUUGGCUGGAAGCUUGAUUCCAAGUGCUGACUGAUUGCUCUCUUUCUCCUUGUCUUGCAGGUAAGAACAAGGCCAAAGGAAAAGACAGGGAAAAAGCAUGAUAUGGGAUAUUCUUGCUUUUAACCCUGAUGAUAUGAGAUAUUCUUGCUCUAGUAUAGCUUGUUUACAGAGGUAUUAUCGGGGGGAAAGAAAGCUGAAAAUUUCGAAAGGCUUCGUUGGGAGUGCCCUCUCAGAUAAGAGGAAGGGUUGAGCAUUUUUUGCAGGUCUGCCUGUCCGUUGGGGAUGGAGGUCGACAUAUAUAGGAGUCUCCCUAACAUCAAGUAAUAAUGCUAUUCCUUUACCCUGCUUGGUCAUAGCACGGUAGUGGGAGCUGUCAGCUUCACAUGUUUUAACUCUGUCAGAGCACUUUGAAAAAGUGGUCUGUGGUAUCUGGAAAGCUGAUGUUGCGUGUGAAGAUUACAGACAAGCUUUAUCCAAGGAGAUCCAGCUCUUGAAGUUGGGAAAGUGGUGCCUCUUUGGUUUUCGAAACAAGCAAUCCUGUCGGGGAUCUGGCUCUCGAGAUUCGGAGAACGAUGCCUCUUCGAUUUUUGAGAAAGCAAUCAUGCUGGGGGUCUGGCUCUCGAGAUUCGGAGAGCGGUGUCUCUUCGAUUUUUGAGAAAGUAAUCAUGUUGAGAGUCUGGCUCUCGAGAUUCGGAGGGCGGUGCCUCUUCGAUUUUUGGAGCAAGCAAUCUUGUUAGGAGUGUUUUCUCGAAUGUGAGUAAAGGUUGGGCAUGUUUGCUAGUCUACCUUGUCACGAAGCACAGAGGUUGACACACAGGGACUUUCCAAUUAUCCAGCAGUGGUACUGUUCCUUUACCCUCUCUUUGAUUUUUGAGAAAGUAAUCAUGUUGGGAGUCUGGCUCUCGAGAUUCGGAGGGCGGUGCCUCUUCGAUUUUGGAGCAAGCAAUCUUGUUGGGAGUGUUUUCUCGAAUGUGAGUAAAGGUUGGGCAUGUUUGCUAGUCUACCUUGCCACGGAGCACAGAGGUUGACACACAGGAACUUUCCAAUUAUCCAGCAGUGGUACUGUUCCUUUACCCUCUCUUCGAUUUUUGAGAAAGUAAUCAUGUUGAGAGUCUGGCUCUCGAGAUUCGGAGGGCGGUGCCUCUUCGAUUUUGGAGCAAGCAAUCUUGUUGGGAGUGUUUUCUCGAAUGUGAGUAAAGGUUGGGCAUGUUUGCUAAUCUACCUUGCCACGAAGCACAGAGGUUGAGACACCGGGACUUUCCAAUUAUCCAGCAGUGGUACUGUUCCUUUACCCAUGUGGGUAAUAAUAUGGUAGCUAGACCUUCAAAAUUUAUGUGUCUAAACUUUGGUAGUGUUGUUUCUUUGCUAUUCUUUUACCCUUCUUGGUCAGAGCGAUGUAGCGGGAGCUGCAAGCUUCACGUGUCUCAACUUUGUCAGAGAACUUUGGCAAAGUUAUCUGUGGUACCCAUGAGCUACUGUUGCGUGUGGGAAGUGGGUGAUUGAACAGUACGAUUCAUGUGCUUUCUACUUCGCCAGAAAUCUUCGACAGAAUGCCCAUAAUUUCCGCAAAGCUGAGUGUGCGUGUGACAGGUGUUGACGAGGCUGGAAAAGUAGGUGCCUCUUCGAUUUCUGAGAUCGGCCCUCGUGGUCUCUGAGCAGCCCAGCUUUUGAGAAAGCAAGCCUCUUCGAUUUCUAAGAUCGGCCUUUGUGGUCUUUGAGCAGCCCAGCUUUUGAGAAAGCUAACGCCUCUUCGAUUUCUGAGAUCGACCCUCGUGGUCUCUGAGCAGCCCAGCUUUUGAGAAAGCAAACGCCUCUUCGAUUUCUGAGCAGGCGCCUCUUCGAUUUCUGAAGCUUCGUCGAGUGCAGAUUUUUAUAGGGGCUGACAUUAAGUUCCAAAGCACACUUGAAUAUCCACCAGUAGAAGCUUCAUUCUUGCACUUCUAAGAUCUUGAUUUGUCCGCCGACCUCUUCUCUCUUCAACACCUUUGAAAAUGUCUGGCCCCUCCGACCGUCGUUUUGACUUGAACCUUGUUGAAGAGGUAGCCCCGCCUUCUCCAGACAACAUAUGGCGCCCAUCCUUCGUCUCCCCUACUGGUCCUCUUACCGUUGGGGAUUCCGUGAUGAAGAAUGAUAUGACCGCUGCGGUAGUGGCCAGGAACCUUCUCACUCCCAAAGAUAACAGACUACUUUCCAAACGGUCUGAUGAGUUUGCUGUUAAGGAUUCUCUGGCUCUCAGUGUUCAGUGUGCAGGUUCUGUGUCUAAUAUGGCCCAACGCCUAUUUGCUCGAACCCGCCAAGUUGAAUCAUUGGCGGCUGAAGUGAUGAGUCUCAAACAGGAGAUUAGAGGGCUCAAGCAUGAGAAUAAACAGUUGCACCGGCUCGCACAUGACUAUGCUACAAACAUGAAGAGGAAGCUUGACCAGAUGAAGGAAUCUGAUGGUCAGGUUUUACUUGAUCAUCAGAGAUUUGUGGGUUUGUUCCAAAGGCAUUUAUUGCCUUCGUCUUCUGGGGCUGAACCGCGUAAUGAAGCUCCAAAUGAUCAACCUCUGAUGCCUCCUCCUUCUAGGGUUCUAUCCAGUACUGAGGCUCCAAAUGAUCCCCCUCCGGUGCCUUCUCUUUCUGGGGCUUUACCGACUGCUGAGACUUCUUCUAAGCAACCUUUGUGAAGGCUCCCUCUUGUUUGUUUAUUUUGACUCAAGUAUAUGUACAUAUUUGUAACUGAUCGGGGAUAUCAAUAAAUCAGCUUUCCUUCAUUUCAACGUAUUGUGUUAAAUACACCAAGCCUUCUUCGUUAAGUUCUUUGAAUUUUCUUUUGUUGAAGCUUUGUGAGUGGAGCAUGUAGGUUGAGGUAGUGUUCCCUUAAUUUUCCGAGUGAGGAAAACUUCUCGGUUGGAGACUUGUAAAAUCCAAGUCACUGAGUGGGAUCGGCUAUAUGAAUCUUAGAACGCCAUUGUGUUCUGUCAUGUGUCAUGUCCUCCGUUAGAUCCAAAUACUCUAAGUCUUUUCUUAGGGUCUCUUCCAAAGUUUUCCUAGGUCUUCCUCUACCCCUUCGGCCCUGAACCUCUGUCCCAUAGUCGCAUCUUCUAAUCGGAGCGUCAGUAGGCCUUCUUUGCACAUGUCCAAACCACCGUAACCGAUUUUCUCUCAUCUUUCCUUCAAUUUCGGCUACUCCUACUUUACCUCGGAUAUCCUCAUUCCUAAUCUUAUCCUUUCUCGUGUGCCCACACAUCCAACGAAGCAUUCUCAUCUCCGCUACACCCAUUUUGUGUACGUGUUGAUGCUUCACCGCCCAACAUUCUGUGCCAUACAGCAUCGCCGGCCUUAUUGCCGUCCUAUAAAAUUUUUCCUUGAGCUUCAGUGGCAUACGGCUGUCACACAACACGCCGGAUGCACUCUUCCACUUCAUCCAUCCAGCUUGUAUUCUAUGGUUGAGAUCUCCAUCUAAUUCUCCGUUCUUUUGCAAGAUAGAUCCUAGGUAACGAAAACGGUCGCUCUUUGGUAUUUCUUGAUCUCCGAUCCUCACCCCUAACUCGUUUUGGCCUCCAUUUGCACUGAACUUGCACUCCAUAUAUUCUGUCUUUGAUCAGCUUAGGCGAAGACCUUUAGAUUCCAACACUUCUCUCCAAAGGUUAAGCUUUGCAUUUACCCCUUCCUGAGUUUCAUCUAUCAACACUAUAUCGUCUGCGAAAAGCAUACACCAAGGAAUAUCAUCUUGAAUAUGUCCUGUUAACUCAUCAAUUACCAACGCAAAAAGGUAAGGACUUAAGGAUGAGCCUUGAUGUAAUCCUACAGUUAUGGGAAAGCUUUCGGUUUGUCCUUCAUGAGUUCUUACGGCAGUCUUUGCUCCUUCAUACAUAUCCUGUAUAGCUUGGAUAUAUGCUACUCGUACUCCUUUCUUCUCUAAAACCCUCCAAAGAAUGUCUCUUGGGACCCUAUCAUACGCUUUUUCCAAAUCUAUAAAGACCAUGUGUAAAUCCUUUUUCCCAUCUCUAUAUCUUUCCAUCAAUCUUCGUAAGAGAUAGAUUGCCUCCAUGGUUGAGCGCCCUGGCAUGAACCCGAAUUGGUUGUCCGAAAACCCGUGUCUUUUUGCCUCAAUCUAUGCUCAAUGACUCUCUCCCAGAGCUUCAUUGUAUGACUCAUUAGCUUAAUACCCCUAUAGUUCAUGCAAUUUUGUACAUCGCCCUUAUUCUUGUAGAUAGGCACCAAAGUGCUCGUUCGCCACUCAUUUGGCAUCUUCUUCGUUUUCAAAAAUCCUAUUGAAAAGGUCAGUGAGCCAUGUUAUACCUGUCUCUCCCAAAAACUUUCCACACUUCGAUUGGUAUAUCGUCUGGGCCUACUUCCUUUCUAUGCUUCAUCUUCUUCAAAGCUACAACCACUUCUUCCUUCCGGAUUCUACGAUAAAAAGAGUAGUUUCUACACUCUUCUGAGUUACUCAACUCCCCUAAAGAAGCACUCCUUUCAUGUCCUUCAUUGAAAAGAUUAUGAAAAUAACCUUUCCAUCUGUCUUUAACCGCGUUCUCUGUAGCAAGAACCUUUCCAUCCUCAUCCUUGAUGCACCUCACUUGGUUUAGGUCCCUUGUCUUCUUUUCCCUUGCUCUAGCUAGUUUUAUAGAUAUCCAACUCUCCUUCUUUGGUAUCUAGUCGCUUAUACAUAUCGUCAUAAGCCGCUAACUUAGCUUCUCUCACAGCUUUCUUCGCCUCUUGCUUCGCUUUUCUAUACCUUUCACCAUUUUCAUCGGUCCUAUCCUUGUAUAAGGCUUUACAACAUUCCUUCUUAGCCUUCACCUUUGUUUGUACCUCCUCAUUCCACCACCAAGAUUCCUUUUGGUGUGGGGCAAAGCCCUUGGACUCUCCUAAUACCUCUUUUUGCUACUUUUCGGAUACAACUAGCCAUGGAAUCCCACAUUUGGUUAGCUUCCCCCUCUCUAUCCCACACACACUGGGUGAUUACUUUCUCUUUGAAAAUGGCUUGUUUUUCUUCUUUUAGAUUCCACCAUCUAGUCCUUGGGCACUUCCAAGUCUUGUUCUUUUUUCUCACUCUUUUGAUAUGUACAUCCAUCACCAACAAGCGAUGUUGAUUAGCCACGCUCUCUCCUGGUAUAACUUUGCAAUCCUUACAGGUUAUACGAUCCCCUUUCCUCAUUAGAAGAAAAUCUAUUUGUGUUUUUGACGACCCACUCUUGUAGGUGAUCACAUGUUCUUUCUCUCUUCUUAAAGAAGGUGUUUGGCUAAGAAGAGAUCAUAUGCCAUUGCAAAAUCCAAGAUAGCUUCCCCAUCCUCGUUUCUCUCCCCAAAAACCAUGGCCACCAUGAAAACCUCCAUAGUUGCCUGUCUCUCCCUGCCCACGUGUCCAUUUAAAUCUCCUCCUAUAAAUAACUUCUCCGUAUGAGCAAUUCCUUGCACCAAGUCUCCAAGGUCUUCCCAAAAUUUCUCCUUCGAACUCGUAUCCAACCUACUUGAGGUGCGUACGCACUAAUCACAUUGAUAAGUUCUUGUCCUAUUACAAUCUUGAUUGCCAUGAUUCUAUCUCCUACCCUCUUGACAUCUACAACAUCUUGUGUCAAGGUCUUGUCCACGAUGAUGCCAACACCGUUUCGCGUUCUAUUUGUGCCCGAAUACCAUAGUUUAAACCCUGAGUUUUCUAGAUCCUUUGCCUUACGACCAACCCACUUAGUUUCUUGUAGGCACAUAAUAUUUAUCCUUCUCCUCACCAUAACUUCUACUACUUCCAUAGAUUUUCCCGUCAAGGUUCCUAUAUUCCACGUUCCUAAACGCAUUUUGCUCUCUUGAACUCUACCCUUCUGUCCUAGCUUCUUCACCCUUCCCCGUCUAAUAGGAUCAAAGUACUUCUUUUGUGUGUCCCGUGUAAAGUUGAUAGGAGCAUAUGCUCCCAAACAACUUUGAGUGGAGUCGUUCGAAAAGAAGUUUCUAUAGCCCCCUUGCUCAUUUAACACUGCAUCCGGGUGCCGAUGGAGAUACAGCGACCCUUGCUCACUUAUCACUGUGCUCGGGCCACACAGCGCGCCACUUACGGGUGACGCCCUAGCUUUAGCGCAAUUUCGUUCUGGAUUCAUUUUCAUAAGGAUUCGACGUAAUCAUGGAGUGCCGGCUGUCGACUACCUGACGCCCUCCCCCUCCUCCUUUAUCCGGGCUUGGGACCGGCAAUGUAAGAUAAACUUACACGGCGGAGUUCAAUACGGGGAAAAACAUCCAUGCCACAAUUUUGUUCAAUUUAAGAAUGACAUACAGUGAAAAUAUUUAUUUAUGAACAAUUUAGAUGUCAUCAACGAAAUUGACAUGGACACACAUAUACAUAAAUAUGCAUACGCUACAUGUAAACACAGAUAUAUACAAAGAAAAGCAAUCUAAAAUCAGUAUGAGGUUAUUCACUAUGAAAAUGGAUACAAAUAUACAAGCUACUAUACC
RNAcentral lists this long non-coding RNA (8242 nucleotides) under Malus domestica (apple). RNAcentral's name for it is "long non-coding RNA (MDOM_LNC000618)". The record is from RNAcentral. Lineage: Eukaryota; Viridiplantae; Streptophyta; Magnoliopsida; Rosales; Rosaceae.